RNAcentral lists this ribosomal RNA (414 nucleotides) under uncultured microorganism. Its description in RNAcentral is "bacterial SSU rRNA". It matches the Rfam family "Archaeal small subunit ribosomal RNA", at positions 459 to 872 of the family's 1478-position model. The record is from RNAcentral.
CAGCCGCCGCGGUAAUACCGGCGGCCCGAGUGGCGGUCACUAUUAUUGGGCUUAAAGCGUCCGUAGCCGGGUUGGGAAGUCCUCCGGGAAAUCUGGCCGCUUAACGGUCAGAAUGCCGGAGGAUACUCCCAGCCUAGGGAGCGGGAGAGGCCGAGGGUCUUCCCGGAGUAGGGGGGAAAUCCUAUAAUCCCGGGAGGACCACCGGUGGCGAAGGCGCUCGGCUGGAACGCGUCCGACGGUGAGGGACGAAGGCCAGGGGAGCAAACCGGAUUAGAUACCCGGGUAGUCCUGGCUGUAAACGAUGCGGACUUUGUGUCGGACAAGCUAUGAGCUUGUCCGGUGCCGGAGGGAAACCGUUAAGUCCGCCGCCUGGGGAGUACGGCCGCAAGGCUGAAACUUAAAGGAAUUGGCGGG